Molecule: long non-coding RNA, 2473 nt
Filed under: Triticum aestivum (bread wheat)
Lineage: Eukaryota; Viridiplantae; Streptophyta; Magnoliopsida; Poales; Poaceae
Description: long non-coding RNA (TAES_LNC003206)
Source: RNAcentral
AGUAAUACAAUAGUGGGCGAUCUUGGAUGUUGCAAGCUGUGUAUAACUACAUGUGAUCUGUAAGUAUGAUACCAUCUGGUUGGACUCUCUUGUUAAUCAAUCAAUCAUCAAGGGAUGGCCUUAUAGUUCAAAACUUUUUUUGACAAUAGAUUGCUUUAUAGUUCAAUAGUUGUAGGCUGUAGGGCAAUACCCUUUGACAUGCAUUACACGCUGAUCUGUUUGUACGUUGAAGAUCCUUGCCGUUUCACGGGGAAUGUAGACAGUUUUGCUUUGUUCUUGGUGUCAUUUAAAGGGUGGUUGGCGCUACCAGGCUUCGCUUGUUGUGUGGGACAUCAGAAUACAUGACCAGGUUUGUUCCAAGUGGGCUGAUCAGCUCGCGCUUGUCGAUAGGUUCCUAUGAGGACGGGACCUGGACCUAUUCCCUAUGAGGACGGGAAAAUGGCCGACUAGAGUUGCCUCAGGGCGGCCGAUGGGGUCGCGCUUGUUGAUAGGAUCGGUGGCUACGCUCCCUCGUGCGGCCGGGGCACGUUGCUUUUGGUGCUCGUUCGUGAAGGACAGAGAUUCCCGAAUAUCGGCAUUCGGGGUUUGAUUGGUCGACCUGGUGUUGUCAAGUGAUGAAAGUGCAUCUAAUCUCUGUGUGGUUUUAGAAAUUCAUAACAAUAUAUAUUUAUUAAACUAAUGCCUAUUCAGGAAUAUUUCAGGAAAGUUUAAUUUAGGUACAAUAAUGGCAUGUGAAAAUAGACCCCUCAAAAUGCUAAGACAAGUGUUGGUCAAUGCCUUAAAACUUCAUUUUAUAUUUAAGUGAUCCAAGAUCAUAUUGAGUCCACAAGUAUGCUAAUAUUAUUAAAAGGGGAUGAGGUUAAGAUAAUGAGUUUCUUGCUCAAAUUACUUAAAGGUCAAGCUCCUAAUGCCUCACAUCAUUUACCACGAUUCCUCUAUAUGACAAACCAAAAGUUAAACCUGGACUCACCAAACCCAUAUACACCGAAGUCAUCGAGUCACAUUUUUUUUGAAAACCCCCAUAUAUUACUUUGGUAAAUUAAGGUUCUUACAAUCGUUCAUUACAAAAGCAGUUACACAUGGCGGAACACUAUUAUAUAAAAGGCCCUCAGAUCUACUGUCAAAACUGAAUUUUGCAAUCUUGUGCGCCAUCCUAUUUGCCCGCCUAUCAAUCUUCGUGAUCUUAAAAUCCUUUAUGAGUUUUGAUACGCUCAACGCCUCCAUUUUCAGGUCCGCCAACGAAGACCUGUCAAUGGAAUCUCUAGCCAGACAAGAAACAACAAAAGCGUAAUCAGUUUCCAGAAUAAAUGGUUUGUGAAGUGUAAUACCUAUGUAUAACCCGGCAAGGGCCGCACGAAGUUUCGCUUCAUCCACACAAGUACAGGAGCGGAUAAAAUCCCGUGAUGAGACCAAUACUUCGCCCAGGUCAUUCCUGACAGCAACUUCAACACUAGCAGAUCUCAUGCUCUCCACAAAACUUGCAUCAACAUUAAUCUUAAUAUACUCAGGAUCCGGGGGCUCCCAAACUCGGUGACCAAUUGCGGGUGGAGUAGCAUACCUCCACUUGUCAACCACCCCCUUACCUUUAUUGCAUAUGACAGCUUGCACAUAGGCAUUUGUCGCUGUAAAAGAUUUCCAGUAAUUUUCCAUAGAUAUAGCAGAAGCAGAUAAAGACUCUUUCCCCCUUCCAAAGAUCAGAUCAUUCCUCAGGUGCCAAGCUCACCAAAAUAUGAAUAAAACUUGCUCGCGAACCGGUGACCCCAAUUGGUCAAGCAUAAUAAUAAACCAGUCUGGCCCCGUACAUCUGAAGAACUCCUCUCCAGGAAUAUUCCACACAUCUCUCAUGGCAAAACGGAGAGCACACGCCUUAGGACAAGUCACCAGGGCAUGAAAGAUACUUUCUUCCUCCACACCACAAAUAGUACACAUAUCUGACACUGUUUGGUGAUGAGCAACUAUGUUUACCUGGGUCGCCAAACUAUUGGACGCGGCUCGCCAGGCAAAAAUUCUUAUUUUUUGUGGGACUUUGGCCUUCCAAAUAACGUCCCACAUCCUCCUCCCCUCAUUAUCAAUAGUGUUGGACCUUCCAGUUUCGCCCUUACCGUCACAUUGAUAUAGACAUUAUCCUAAACUCUAUACUUUCGGACUCACUGAGUUGACCCUUCGAUCUCAUCGAAGAGCACUUGCCAAUCUUCUGUUGCCUACCGAAAUUCAUUCGGAAUUUCCGAACAAAUUAGGUCGGUGAAACCGAAGUGUGUACAAUACUUAGGUCAUAAGAACUCAAGAGCCACCAAACAGUUUCAUCUGGUGUCACCAAAAUUUCUAAAGUUCAAACCUUUUGUACAGUUCGGUCUGACCAAGUAUUUUCAGUCGGCCUCGACGACAUGUGCUUAAAGUGAGUAAUGGUAAGAUUUUUGGUGAAGCCUAUAUAUACCCCCACCCACUCCACCAGUACCUCUCAAAAAAAAAACAC